RNAcentral lists this ribosomal RNA (429 nucleotides) under uncultured bacterium. RNAcentral's name for it is "bacterial SSU rRNA". It matches the Rfam family "Bacterial small subunit ribosomal RNA", at positions 355 to 776 of the family's 1533-position model. The record is from RNAcentral.
UGGGGAAUUUUGCGCAAUGGACGAAAGUCUGACGCAGCAACGCCGCGUGGGUGAUGAAGGUCUUCGGACUGUAAAACCCUGUCGUCAGGGACGAAGGUGUGCAUGUUAAUAGCAUUGUAUCUUGACGUUACUCGCAGAAGAAGCACCGGCUAACUCUGUGCCAGCAGCCGCGGUAAUACAGAGGGUGCAAGCGUUAAUCGGAAUUACUGGGCGUAGAGCGUGCGUAGGCGGAUAAUUAAGUCAGACGUGAAAGCCCCGGGCUCAACCUGGGAAUGGCAUCUGAAACUGGUCAUCUAGAGUAUGGUAGAGGAUAGUGGAAUUUCCGGUGUAGCGGUGAAAUGCGUAGAUAUCGGAAGGAACACCAGUGGCGAAGGCGACUAUCUGGGCCAAUACUGACGCUGAGGUACGAAAGCGUGGGUAGCGAACAGG